GUGCUCGCUUCAACAGCACAUAUACUAAAACUGGAACAAUACAGAGAAGAAAGCAUGGCCCCUGUGCAAGAAUGACACGCAAAUUCAUGAAGUGUUCCACAUUUUU
This 106-nucleotide small nuclear RNA is filed under the name Catagonus wagneri (Chacoan peccary). Lineage: Eukaryota; Metazoa; Chordata; Mammalia; Artiodactyla; Tayassuidae. The record is from RNAcentral.